CACCGAAAAUGGGAUAUAGGCGUGUUCAACUCGACGAGCCCUAAAAGGUCGCAAAGUUUCAUGAAGCAAAUACAGUCAGGGAAACUAUGUAUUACUUUUGACAGGUAUAGGUUAGAGUGAAUCACAUCUUAAAAGUACUUACCAAAUUACAAGCAGAAUGAAUCAUAUAUAGCAGGAAAUGGGAAGCAAGAUGGAAUAAUAUUGUUGAAUAAUAAAUACGUGCAAGUUUAUUUAAGUUUAUUUGAACUUUAUAUGUUGUUGACAAUACGGCAUGGCAUGAAUCUGUUCAGACAUUGACAGGAAAAUUACCACCAAAAAUUAUGAAGUACAAAAAUUGAAUAGAUACAUUAAAGAAAUUAACCAACGUAGAAUGAAAUAUCAAGACAAAUAACACAAACGUACUCUGAAAAGAGAUGCAAUUACUUUGUCGCAAGAUAUAUCUGGAAAUAGGUUUAAGCAUAUAUUCUGACAUUAAUGAGGAAAUUACAA
Molecule: long non-coding RNA, 489 nt
Organism: Osmia bicornis bicornis
Lineage: Eukaryota; Metazoa; Arthropoda; Insecta; Hymenoptera; Megachilidae
Exons: 3
Source: RefSeq, a predicted model, not a curated record